AGGGAAUCUUCCGCAAUGGGCGAAAGCCUGACGGAGCAACGCCGCGUGAGUGAUGAAGGUCUUCGGAUCGUAAAACUCUGUUAUUAGGGAAGAACAUAUGUGUAAGUAACUGUGCACAUCUUGACGGUACCUAAUCAGAAAGCCAUGGCUAACUACGUGCCAGCAGCCGCGGUAAUACGUAGGUGGCAAGCGUUAUCCGGAAUUAUUGGGCGUAAAGCGCGCGUAGGCGGUUUUUUAAGUCUGAUGUGAAAGCCCACGGCUCAACCGUGGAGGGUCAUUGGAAACUGGAAAACUUGAGUGCAGAGGAGGAAAGUGGAAUUCCAUGUGUAGCGGUGAAAUGCGCAGAGAUAUGGAGGAACACCAGUGGCGAAGGCGACUUUCUGGUCUGUAACUGACGCUGAUGUGCGAAAGCGUGGGGAUCAAACAGGAUUAGAUACCCUGGUAGUCCACGCCGUAAACGAUGAGUGCUAAGUGUUAGGGGGUUUCCGCCCCUUAGUGCUGCAGCUAACGCAUUAAGCACUCCGCCUGGGGAGUACGACCGCAAGGUUG
Molecule: ribosomal RNA, 549 nt
Filed under: uncultured bacterium
Lineage: Bacteria
Description: bacterial SSU rRNA
Rfam family: Bacterial small subunit ribosomal RNA
Source: RNAcentral